CCUACGGGAGGCAGCAGUGAGGAAUAUUGGUCAAUGGGCGCGAGUCUGAACCAGCCAAGUAGCGUGAAGGAUGACUGCCCUAUGGGUUGUAAACUUCUUUUAUAUGGGAAUAAAAUGUUGCACGUGUGCCAUUUUGUAUGUACCAUAUGAAUAAGGAUCGGCUAACUCCGUGCCAGCAGCCGCGGUAAUACGGAGGAUCCGAGCGUUAUCCGGAUUUAUUGGGUUUAAAGGGAGCGUAGGUGGGUUGUUAAGUCAGUUGUGAAAGUUUGCGGCUCAACCGUAAAAUUGCAGUUGAAACUGGCAGUCUUGAGUACAGUUGAGGUAGGCGGAAUUCGUGGUGUAGCGGUGAAAUGCUUAGAUAUCACGAAGAACUCCGAUUGCGAAGGCAGCUCACUGGACUGCAACUGACACUGAGGCUCGAAAGUGUGGGUAUCAAACAGGAUUAGAUACCCUGGUAGUC
Molecule: ribosomal RNA, 460 nt
Filed under: uncultured bacterium
Lineage: Bacteria
Description: partial 16S ribosomal RNA
Rfam family: Bacterial small subunit ribosomal RNA
Source: RNAcentral